RNAcentral lists this ribosomal RNA (2450 nucleotides) under Salmonella enterica subsp. enterica serovar Typhimurium. Its description in RNAcentral is "partial 23S ribosomal RNA". It matches the Rfam family "Bacterial large subunit ribosomal RNA", at positions 593 to 2925 of the family's 2925-position model. The record is from RNAcentral. Lineage: Bacteria; Pseudomonadati; Pseudomonadota; Gammaproteobacteria; Enterobacterales; Enterobacteriaceae. RNAcentral also lists the same sequence under 1 other name.
GUGACUGCGUACCUUUUGUAUAAUGGGUCAGCGACUUAUAUUCUGUAGCAAGGUUAACCGUAUAGGGGAGCCGGAGGGAAACCGAGUCUUAAUUGGGCGUUAAGUUGCAGGGUAUAGACCCGAAACCCGGUGAUCUAGCCAUGGGCAGGUUGAAGGUUGGGUAACACUAACUGGAGGACCGAACCGACUAAUGUUGAAAAAUUAGCGGAUGACCUGUGGCUGGGGGUGAAAGGCCAAUCAAACCGGGAGAUAGCUGGUUCUCCCCGAAAGCUAUUUAGGUAGCGCCUCGUGAAUUCAUCUCCGGGGGUAGAGCACUGUUUCGGCUAGGGGGCCAUCCCGGCUUACCAACCCGAUGCAAACUGCGAAUACCGGAGAAUGUUAUCACGGGAGACACACGGCGGGUGCUAACGUCCGUCGUGAAGAGGGAAACAACCCAGACCGCCAGCUAAGGUCCCAAAGUCAUGGUUAAGUGGGAAACGAUGUGGGAAGGCCCAGACAGCCAGGAUGUUGGCUUAGAAGCAGCCAUCAUUUAAAGAAAGCGUAAUAGCUCACUGGUCGAGUCGGCCUGCGCGGAAGAUGUAACGGGGCUAAACCAUGCACCGAAGCUGCGGCAGCGAACGUAUCACCCAAGACAACUUUACGGAGUUGACGAUUGACGGAGCGAAGCGACGUCAAAGCGUUCAUUAAAGUCGAGUUGGCUUAGGGAUACGUUCGUUGGGUAGGGGAGCGUUCUGUAAGCCUGUGAAGGUGUGUCGUGAGGCAUGCUGGAGGUAUCAGAAGUGCGAAUGCUGACAUAAGUAACGAUAAAGCGGGUGAAAAGCCCGCUCGCCGGAAGACCAAGGGUUCCUGUCCAACGUUAAUCGGGGCAGGGUGAGUCGACCCCUAAGGCGAGGCCGAAAGGCGUAGUCGAUGGGAAACGGGUUAAUAUUCCCGUACUUGGUGUUACUGCGAAGGGGGGACGGAGAAGGCUAUGUUGGCCGGGCGACGGUUGUCCCGGUUUAAGCGUGUAGGUGUGUGUUCCAGGUAAAUCCGGUUCACUUUAACACUGAGGCGUGACGACGAGGCACUACGGUGCUGAAGCAACAAAUGCCCUGCUUCCAGGAAAAGCCUCUAAGCAUCAGGUAACACGAAAUCGUACCCCAAACCGACACAGGUGGUCAGGUAGAGAAUACCAAGGCGCUUGAGAGAACUCGGGUGAAGGAACUAGGCAAAAUGGUGCCGUAACUUCGGGAGAAGGCACGCUGACACGUAGGUGAAGUGAUUUACUCAUGGAGCUGAAGUCAGUCGAAGAUACCAGCUGGCUGCAACUGUUUAUUAAAAACACAGCACUGUGCAAACACGAAAGUGGACGUAUACGGUGUGACGCCUGCCCGGUGCCGGAAGGUUAAUUGAUGGGGUCAGCGUAAGCGAAGCUCCUGAUCGAAGCCCCGGUAAACGGCGGCCGUAACUAUAACGGUCCUAAGGUAGCGAAAUUCCUUGUCGGGUAAGUUCCGACCUGCACGAAUGGCGUAAUGAUGGCCAGGCUGUCUCCACCCGAGACUCAGUGAAAUUGAACUCGCUGUGAAGAUGCAGUGUACCCGCGGCAAGACGGAAAGACCCCGUGAACCUUUACUAUAGCUUGACACUGAACAUUGAGCCUUGAUGUGUAGGAUAGGUGGGAGGCUUUGAAGUGUGGACGCCAGUCUGCAUGGAGCCGACCUUGAAAUACCACCCUUUAAUGUUUGAUGUUCUAACGUGGACCCGUAAUCCGGGUUGCGGACAGUGUCUGGUGGGUAGUUUGACUGGGGCGGUCUCCUCCUAAAGAGUAACGGAGGAGCACGAAGGUUGGCUAAUCCUGGUCGGACAUCAGGAGGUUAGUGCAAUGGCAUAAGCCAGCUUGACUGCGAGCGUGACGGCGCGAGCAGGUGCGAAAGCAGGUCAUAGUGAUCCGGUGGUUCUGAAUGGAAGGGCCAUCGCUCAACGGAUAAAAGGUACUCCGGGGAUAACAGGCUGAUACCGCCCAAGAGUUCAUAUCGACGGCGGUGUUUGGCACCUCGAUGUCGGCUCAUCACAUCCUGGGGCUGAAGUAGGUCCCAAGGGUAUGGCUGUUCGCCAUUUAAAGUGGUACGCGAGCUGGGUUUAGAACGUCGUGAGACAGUUCGGUCCCUAUCUGCCGUGGGCGCUGGAGAACUGAGGGGGGCUGCUCCUAGUACGAGAGGACCGGAGUGGACGCAUCACUGGUGUUCGGGUUGUCAUGCCAAUGGCACUGCCCGGUAGCUAAAUGCGGAAGAGAUAAGUGCUGAAAGCAUCUAAGCACGAAACUUGCCCCGAGAUGAGUUCUCCCUGAGACUUAGAGUCUCCUGAAGGAACGUUGAAGACGACGACGUUGAUAGGCCGGGUGUGUAAGCGCAGCGAUGCGUUGAGCUAACCGGUACUAAUGAACCGUGAGGCUUAACCUUACAACGCCGAAG